AUGUUUGCGUAAUCGCUAUAAACAUUUGAUGUUUAUAGAGGAAAGUCCAUGCUCGCACAGGCUGAGACGCUUGUAGUGUUCGUGCUUGAUGAAAUCAUAAAUCAAGGCAGUUGAAGAUUCAACUGACGGCAGGGAUUUAAGCUAAGUCUAACAAUAGAUAUGCUUUGAUCCCAUAAAAGUGCCACAGUGACGUAGCUAAGUUGGAAACAAUUUAGGUGGAACGGGUAAACCCCACGAGCGAGCAACCCAAAUAAUGGUAGGGGCAUCUUGGAUUAGGGAAUUAAACCGAAACAAGGACAAAUCACGUGAGAAUGAUUUGUAGAUAGAUGGUUACGACUAACUGUACGAGGCUGACCACCGUAUAAGUACGUUAGCACAGAACAUGGCUUACAAAA
Molecule: RNase P RNA, 395 nt
Filed under: Bacilli bacterium
Lineage: Bacteria; Bacillati; Bacillota; Bacilli
Description: RNase P RNA component class B
Rfam family: Bacterial RNase P class B
About the family: Ribonuclease P (RNase P) is a ubiquitous endoribonuclease, found in archaea, bacteria and eukarya as well as chloroplasts and mitochondria. Its best characterised activity is the generation of mature 5'-ends of tRNAs by cleaving the 5'-leader elements of precursor-tRNAs.
Source: RNAcentral